RNAcentral lists this ribosomal RNA (660 nucleotides) under uncultured Lachnospiraceae bacterium. RNAcentral describes it as "bacterial SSU rRNA". It matches the Rfam family "Bacterial small subunit ribosomal RNA", at positions 46 to 719 of the family's 1533-position model. Lineage: Bacteria; Bacillati; Bacillota; Clostridia; Lachnospirales; Lachnospiraceae. The record is from RNAcentral.
GCCUAACACAUGCAAGUCGGACGGAGCUUAAAGAGCUUGCUUUUUAAGCUUAGUGGCGAACGGGUGAGUAACGCGUGAGUAACCUGCCCUAGAGUGGGGGACAACAGUUGGAAACGACUGCUAAUACCGCAUAAGCCCACGGUGCCGCAUGACACUGAGGGAAAAGGAUUUAUUCGCUUUAGGAUGGACUCGCGUCCAAUUAGCUAGUUGGUGAGGUAACGGCCCACCAAGGCGACGAUUGGUAGCCGGACUGAGAGGUUGAACGGCCACAUUGGGACUGAGACACGGCCCAGACUCCUACGGGAGGCAGCAGUGGGGGAUAUUGCACAAUGGGGGAAACCCUGAUGCAGCGACGCCGCGUGGAGGAAGAAGGUUUUCGGAUUGUAAACUCCUGUCGUUAGGGACGAUAAUGACGGUACCUAACAAGAAAGCACCGGCUAACUACGUGCCAGCAGCCGCGGUAAAACGUAGGGUGCAAGCGUUGUCCGGAAUUACUGGGUGUAAAGGGAGCGCAGGCGGGAAGACAAGUUGGAAGUGAAAACCAUGGGCUCAACCCAUGAAUUGCUUUCAAAACUGUUUUUCUUGAGUAGUGCAGAGGUAGAUGGAAUUCCCGGUGUAGCGGUGGAAUGCGUAGAUAUCGGGAGGAACACCAGUGGCGAA